Molecule: ribosomal RNA, 325 nt
Filed under: uncultured bacterium
Lineage: Bacteria
Description: bacterial SSU rRNA
Rfam family: Bacterial small subunit ribosomal RNA
Source: RNAcentral
GAUGAACGCUGGCGGCGUGCUUAAUACAUGCAAGUCGAGCGAAGCACUUUAACGGAAUUCUCCGGAAGGAAGGUAAAGUGACUGAGCGGGCGACGGGUGAGUAACGCGUGGGUAACCUGCCUUAUACAGGGGGAUAACAGUUAGAAAUGGCUGCUAAUACCGCAUAAGCGCACAGGGCCGCAUGGCCCGGUGUGAAAAACUCCGGUGGUAUGAGAUGGACCCGCGUCUGAUUAGCUAGUUGGUAAGGUAACGGCUUACCAAGGCGACGAUCAGUAGCCGACCUGAGAGGGUGACCGGCCACAUUGGGGACUGAGACACGGCCCAA